This 811-nucleotide ribosomal RNA is filed under the name Salmonella enterica. Its description in RNAcentral is "partial 23S ribosomal RNA". It matches the Rfam family "Bacterial large subunit ribosomal RNA", at positions 579 to 1306 of the family's 2925-position model. Lineage: Bacteria; Pseudomonadati; Pseudomonadota; Gammaproteobacteria; Enterobacterales; Enterobacteriaceae. The record is from RNAcentral.
GCUUAGUGGUGGGGUGACUGCGUACCUUUUGUAUAAUGGGUCAGCGACUUAUAUUCUGUAGCAAGGUUAACCGAAUAGGGGAGCCGGAGGGAAACCGAGUCUUAAUUGGGCGUUAAGUUGCAGGGUAUAGACCCGAAACCCGGUGAUCUAGCCAUGGGCAGGUUGAAGGUUGGGUAACACUAACUGGAGGACCGAACCGACUAAUGUUGAAAAAUUAGCGGAUGACCUGUGGCUGGGGGUGAAAGGCCAAUCAAACCGGGAGAUAGCUGGUUCUCCCCGAAAGCUAUUUAGGUAGCGCCUCGUGAAUUCAUCUCCGGGGGUAGAGCACUGUUUCGGCUAGGGGGCCAUCCCGGCUUACCAACCCGAUGCAAACUGCGAAUACCGGAGAAUGUUAUCACGGGAGACACACGGCGGGUGCUAACGUCCGUCGUGAAGAGGGAAACAACCCAGACCGCCAGCUAAGGUCCCAAAGUCAUGGUUAAGUGGGAAACGAUGUGGGAAGGCCCAGACAGCCAGGAUGUUGGCUUAGAAGCAGCCAUCAUUUAAAGAAAGCGUAAUAGCUCACUGGUCGAGUCGGCCUGCGCGGAAGAUGUAACGGGGCUAAACCAUGCACCGAAGCUGCGGCAGCGAACGUAUCACCCAAGACAACUUUACGGAGUUGACGAUUGACGGAGCGAAGCGACGUCAAAGCGUUCAUUAAAGUCGAGUUGGCUUAGGGAUACGUUCGUUGGGUAGGGGAGCGUUCUGUAAGCCUGUGAAGGUGUGUCGUGAGGCAUGCUGGAGGUAUCAGAAGUGCGAAUGCUGACAUAAG